CUAAGGCUCCAGAGGAAGCUACGGCUAACUCUGUGCCAGCAGCCGCGGUAAUACAGAGGCGGCAAGCGUUGUUCGGAAUUAUUGGGCGUAAAGAGCACGUAGGCGGCCUUGCAAGUCAGUUGUGAGAGCCUUCCGCUUAACGGAAGAAUGCCAGCUGAUACUACAGGGCUUGAGUACGGGGGGGGAGAGUGGAACUUCUGGUGGAGCGGUGAAAUGCGUAGAUAUCAGAAGGAACGCCGGCGGCGAAAGCGACUCUCUGGCCCGAAACUGACGCUGAGUGUGCGAAAGCUAGGGGAGCAAACGGGAUUAGAUACCCCGGUAGUCCUAGCCGUAAA
This 335-nucleotide ribosomal RNA is filed under the name uncultured Planctomycetales bacterium. RNAcentral describes it as "bacterial SSU rRNA". It matches the Rfam family "Bacterial small subunit ribosomal RNA", at positions 473 to 806 of the family's 1533-position model. Lineage: Bacteria; Pseudomonadati; Planctomycetota; Planctomycetia; Planctomycetales. The record is from RNAcentral.